GGAGAGUUCGCAUAGUGGCCUAGUGCGCCGCCUUGGAAAGGCGGUAUACCCGAAAGGGUAUCGAGGGUUCAAAUCCCUCACUCUCCG
RNAcentral lists this transfer RNA (87 nucleotides) under Candidatus Magasanikbacteria bacterium CG1_02_41_34. RNAcentral's name for it is "tRNA-Ser". It matches the Rfam family "tRNA". From Rfam's summary of the family: Transfer RNA (tRNA) molecules are approximately 80 nucleotides in length. Their secondary structure includes four short double-helical elements and three loops (D, anti-codon, and T loops). RNAcentral also lists the same sequence under 1 other name. The record is from RNAcentral. Lineage: Bacteria; Candidatus Magasanikiibacteriota.